AAUAAAUUCAUUUUUUAGUUUUUAGAUACAAUGUUUUGAUUCUUCGUCUUAUUUGAAAUUUUUUUUUGUGAUUAAUAUUUUUAUUGUUACUAGAUGGUAAAACAUGAAUAGUACUUUAUGCGUACUAAUUUUUUAAAUUUUUGUACAAAUUUGUUAAAUAAAACGAAUAGUCAAACGUUGAAGCACAUAAA
Molecule: microRNA precursor, 191 nt
Filed under: Oryza brachyantha (malo sina)
Lineage: Eukaryota; Viridiplantae; Streptophyta; Magnoliopsida; Poales; Poaceae
Description: MIR812 microRNA precursor family
Rfam family: MIR812 microRNA precursor family
Source: Rfam by way of RNAcentral